AACGUAGGAUCCGAGCGUUAUCCGAAUUUACUGGGCGUAAAGCGCAUGCAGGCGGUUCGGUAAGUUGGAUGUGAAAUCUCCUGGCUCAACUGGGAGAGGUCGUUCAAUACUGUCGGACUAGAGGGUGGUAGAGGGAGGUGGAAUUCCCGGUGUAGUGGUGAAAUGCGUAGAUAUCGGGAGGAACACCUGUGGCGAAAGCGGCCUCCUGGACCAUUCCUGACGCUCAGAUGCGAAAGCUAGGGGAGCGAAC
This 250-nucleotide ribosomal RNA is filed under the name uncultured bacterium. RNAcentral describes it as "partial 16S ribosomal RNA". It matches the Rfam family "Bacterial small subunit ribosomal RNA", at positions 524 to 773 of the family's 1533-position model. The record is from RNAcentral.